Cricetulus griseus (Chinese hamster) is the source of this 1126-nucleotide non-coding RNA. Lineage: Eukaryota; Metazoa; Chordata; Mammalia; Rodentia; Cricetidae. The record is from RefSeq and is a predicted model, not a curated record.
UGUCUUGAAAAAACAUAAAGAAAAAGAAAAGAUAAUGAAUUGGCUCAAAUCUAGUUUCUAAAAAUUUGAUAGAUUUUUGAACUUAUGUCACCAAAAUGUAUUUCAAAAAUGGCCAAAUAUUGACUAUGCCAUGACUAAUCCUAACAUUUUCUACCAGGAACAAAAGAAAGAAGAUCUGAGAUGGUGCAGGAGACCCAUCGUAAUCUGCUUGAAUCUUCAGGGAAACAGUGGAGAAAUGCUGAUAACAGGUAGCAGAAGUCGGUCACGUUUGGGCAGUGGUGUUGAUGAGACACAUCUGGAGAUGGACAUACAGGCAUCAUGCUGUUUCAGGAUACUAUGUCUAGUUCAACACAAUCAGAUGCUGGAAUUCCAAAAGGAAACAGAAAGGGAUCAGCCACAAAAUGUUCCUUGGUCAUGGUGUCUCUUCGCAGCAAUAGAAGAAUAACUACGACAGAAGCUUACCUCAAAGAGCUUGCUGACACAGCAAGGUGAUUUCACAAGAAGGAGAUCUGAGGCUUAGAGCCAGAGGAUGGGGUGCUGAGGCUGUGAACAAGCAUCCAUAGGAAAAGCAUUGGCCCCUCCAACGGACCUGUUAAUGAUGUCAUGAUGGAAGAGAGGUCACCAAGGAAACAGCAUGAUCCACGAAGAGAAACUGUGAGGUUAUAUCAUUCUUGCACAAAUAAAGCCUGUCUGGGGGGGGGGGUCAGAGAAUGGAGCUUGCCACUAGCUAACCAUAGAGGUCUGGAGGUCUGUACAGACAGACAGAAAGUGACAUAGCUUGGCAGAAACAGGGUAUAAGCAAGGAGAAACAGGAAAUGCCUGUCUUCUGUGCUGAGAUGCUUGGAGGUAAGGUGUGCUGUGGUUUGCUCCUUCUCUCUGAUCUCUCAGCAUUUCCCUCUGUAUCUGACUCUGGCUUUUCAUUAUCUAAACCAAUUAAGAACUCCUUUUACAAAACUGUCUUUAGCUCAUUCCAGAAUGAGAGAGCGUUAGUAGGGGCAGUUCUGUUUCCUGAGAGGUGCAGCCUUCUCUGCUCUUUAGGAACAGAACUUCCAUCUCCUCUCUUUCCUUGCCUCAGGAAAGGGAGGAGCCGCAGCGAGAGAGAUGCCAGGUGGAUAAGAAGACAGCA